ACGCACGCUGGCGGCGUGCUUCACACCUGCAAGUCGCACGGAAAGGCCCUGCUUUUGUGGGGUGCUCGAGUGGCGAACGGGUGAGUAACACGUGAGUAACCUGCCCUUGACUUUGGGAUAACUUCAGGAAACUGGGGCUAAUACCGGAUAGGAGCUCCUGCUGCCUGGUGGGGGUUGGAAAGUUUCGGCGGUUGGGGAUGGACUCGCGGCUUAUCAGCUUGUUGGUGGGGUAGUGGCUUACCAAGGCUUUGACGGGUAGCCGGCCUGAGAGGGUGACCGGCCACAUUGGGACUGAGAUACGGCCCAGACUCCUACGGGAGGCAGCAGUGGGGAAUAUUGCACAAUGGGCGGAAGCCUGAUGCAGCAACGCCGCGUGCGGGAUGACGGCCUUCGGGUUGUAAACCGCUUUCGCCUGUGACGAAGCGUGAGUGACGGUAAUGGGUAAAGAAGCGCCGGCUAACUACGUG
This 467-nucleotide ribosomal RNA is filed under the name uncultured bacterium. Its description in RNAcentral is "partial 16S ribosomal RNA". It matches the Rfam family "Bacterial small subunit ribosomal RNA", at positions 29 to 507 of the family's 1533-position model. The record is from RNAcentral.